RNAcentral lists this ribosomal RNA (1724 nucleotides) under metagenome. RNAcentral describes it as "bacterial LSU rRNA". It matches the Rfam family "Bacterial large subunit ribosomal RNA", at positions 1181 to 2925 of the family's 2925-position model. The record is from RNAcentral.
AAAAAACGCGACACCGAAGCAGCGGGAUGCGUAAGCAUCGGUAGAGGAGCAUUGUGUGAGGGUUGAAGCCAGAGCGAGAGCACUGGUGGACUUCACAGAAGAGAGAAUGCCGGUAUGAGUAGCGAGACCCAUGCGAGAAACAUGGGCGUCGAAGGCCCAAGGUUUCCUGGGGAAGGUUCAUCCACCCAGGGUAAGUCGGGACCUAAGCCGAGGACUGAGGUCGUAGGCGAUGGACAGCAGGUAGAGAUUCCUGCACCACUACCACUUGUUUGACGAAGCAGUGACACAGAAGGAUAGGACGAGCGCGGUGAUGGUCAACCGCGUAGGCGGCACGAGGCCGGGAAGCAGUGAAGUACACUUCCCGCAAAGGCUGAGUGUUGACAGGACCGAAAAGAAGUAGGGAAGCGUCCGAGUUCACGCUGGCGAGAAAAGCUGCUAAGGAGAGUGUGAGUGCCCGUACCGGAAACCGACGCAGGUGGGCGAGGAGAGAAUCCUGAGACGGACGGGAGAACUCUUGUUAAGGAACUCGGCAAAAUGACCCCGUAACUUCGGGAGAAGGGGUGCCUCGAAAGAGGCCGCAGAGAAUAGUCACAAGCGACUGUUUUAGCAAAAACACAGGUAUCUGCGAAAGCGAGAGCUGACGUAUAGGUGCUGACGCCUGCCCGGUGCUGGAAGGUUAAGGGGAAGUGUUAGGGGAAACCCGAAGCAGAGAACCGAAGCCCCAGUAAACGGCGGCCGUAACGAUAACGGUCCUAAGGUAGCGAAAUUCCUUGUCGGGUAAGUUCCGACCCGCACGAAUGGCGUAACGACUUGUGAGCUGUCUCAACAGGAGGCCCGGUGAAAUUGAAGUAUGUGUGAAGAUGCACAUUACCCGCGACUGGACGGAAAGACCCCGUAGAGCUUUACUGUAACCUGACAUUGGAUCUUGAUAACGGAUGCACAGGAUAGGUGGGACGCUGGGAGACGAGGACUUUGGUUUUCGUGGAGCGGCCGUUGGGAUACCACUCUUCUGUUAUUGAGAUUCUAACCUCAAGCCGUGAGCCGGAUGAGAGACAGUGUCAGGCGGACAGUUUGACUGGGGCGGUCGCCUCCGAAAGAGUAACGGAGGCGCCCAAAGGUACCCUCAGAAUGGAUGGAAACCAUUCGAAGAGAGCAAAGUCAGAAGGGUGCUUGACUGCGAGACCAACAAGUCGAGCAGGUACGAAAGUAGGGCUUAGUGAUCCGGCGGUAAGAGAGUGGAAUUGCCGUCACUCAACGGAUAAAAGCUACCUCGGGGAUAACAGGCUGAUCUCCCCCAAGAGUUCACAUCGACGGGGAGGUUUGGCACCUCGAUGUCGGCUCGUCGCAUCCUGGGGCUGAAGCAGGUCCCAAGGGUUUGGCUGUUCGCCAAUUAAAGCGGCACGCGAGCUGGGUUCAGAACGUCGUGAGACAGUUCGGUCCCUAUCCAUCGUGGGCGAAGGACACAUGAGAGGAGCUGCUCCUAGUACGAGAGGACCGGAGUGGACGCAUCACUGGUGCAACUGUUGUCGUGCCAACGGCACAGCAGGGAAGCGAAAUGCGGACGGGAUAAACGCUGAAGGCAUCUAAGCGUGAAGCCCACCUCAAGAAUAAGUGUCCCAUUCGAAAGAAGUAAGACCCCUGGAAGACUACCAGGUGAUAGGUUAUCGGUGAAAAAGUGGUAACAUUUGGAGCUUGAUGAUACUAAUCGGUCGAAGACUUGAUCG